AACGAACGCUGGCGGCAUGCCUAACACAUGCAAGUCGAACGAGACCUUCGGGUCUAGUGGCGCACGGGUGCGUAACGCGUGGGAAUCUGCCCUUGGGUUCGGAAUAACAGUUAGAAAUGACUGCUAAUACCGGAUAAUGUCUUCGGACCAAAGAUUUAUCGCCCAGGGAUGAGCCCGCGUAGGAUUAGCUAGUUGGUGAGGUAAAGGCUCACCAAGGCGACGAUCCUUAGCUGGUCUGAGAGGAUGAUCAGCCACACUGGGACUGAGACACGGCCCAGACUCCUACGGGAGGCAGCAGUGGGGAAUAUUGGACAAUGGGCGAAAGCCUGAUCCAGCAAUGCCGCGUGAGUGAUGAAGGCCUUAGGGUUGUAAAGCUCUUUCACCGGUGAAGAUAAUGACGGUAACCGGAGAAGAAGCCCCGGCUAACUUCGUGCCAGCAGCCGCGGUAAU
RNAcentral lists this ribosomal RNA (450 nucleotides) under uncultured bacterium. Its description in RNAcentral is "bacterial SSU rRNA". It matches the Rfam family "Bacterial small subunit ribosomal RNA", at positions 29 to 524 of the family's 1533-position model. The record is from RNAcentral.